Molecule: long non-coding RNA, 4380 nt
Filed under: Gossypium barbadense (sea-island cotton)
Lineage: Eukaryota; Viridiplantae; Streptophyta; Magnoliopsida; Malvales; Malvaceae
Description: long non-coding RNA (GBAR_LNC008556)
Source: RNAcentral
AAAAGAAAAAGAAAAAAGCUAUCAUUUUCUCUUCCCCUUCACCGAAAUAUGCAGCAAAGAAAGGGUUUUGAAGCUGGAAAAUUUCAGCAACAUAUUUCCCUUGCUUGUAAGUGAUUUUAAUGUCUUUGCUUGAUGAUUUUUGUAUUUUUGGAACCCCUAAAGCAUAAGCUUUCAUAAGAGGGGAUUAUUUUGCAAAAUGAUGAAGAGUCUAGGGUUUUACCAUGAGAGUAAAUGUGUUGUUUGCUGUGUUUUUAUGGAAGAUUAUGAGUCCUAGUUGUCUAAUAAACAACUUUUGUGAAAGAAAUUGCAUGAAAAUACCUUAAAAAUGGGUAAAUUGCUAAGUUGUAAAAUGAGUUGUAAAUGUGUAAAGUAGUUGAAAUUAUGAGUUGCUAUAGUUAUGAAAAUGGUUCAUCUAGACUCAAGGAGUAAAGAAAUGUGAUAAAAAUUAAUUUACGAGCAUUGGGGAAAAAGUGCAAAUAUGCAAAAGUUUAGGGGUCAAAAUGAAAAUCUGUAAAAAUAUGAUUUUUAGACCCAUAUGAAUAUUGUGACUGAUUGGUAGGCUAAAUGUGAUGUUAUAGAUGAUGAAAAUUGAGAUUUGGACCUAGAACAGAAAGAAAUCGAUUUAUGGACGAGUAUGUCUUUUCACCUUUGUGGUAUCGAGGUAAGUUCAUGUGUAAAUAAUGUAGCAUAAUUGUUAUUUUUAAGUUAUUGAUGUUAAAUAUAUGAUAUGCUGAUUUUUAUCAUGAAAUAUAUGCUUUGUGGUUAUUUUCGAAUAAAAUGCAAGUUAUGUGUAUUAUCUGUUAAAUAUAAAGUGCUACCGAGUAUUGGUUUCGGUAUUUUACGGAAGAUGGCAAGGAUAUGUGUUCGAGGAAAAUCCCGUUUGAACCUUAGGAAUAGAUUAGGAUACAAGUGACAUGUCACUAGGAUGGUUGAGCAUCCGAACUCGUUGAGUUGAGUCCGAGUUCACUUAUGGAUGCGAAUGUUCGAACUCGUUAAGUUGAGUCUGAGUUCGUGAGAUGUAACUAGGCAUCCGAGCUCGUUGAGUUGAGUCCGAGUUCACUUAUGGGCGGGUUACAUGGUAGCUUGGCUGCAUAUGUGGCACUUAUGUGCAAACUUUCCAUGUAUCCGAAUUAUAUUCCGAUGUGUUCAACGGGUAAAAUUCUACUCAAACGGAGGAAUACUCGAGAUGAAAGGGACGUAUUGGUAAAUGUUGUGAAAUGGAUACUUUGAACAGGUAUGUACUUAACCCUUGGGUUGAAAACUCGACAUAACAACAAUAUGGUAAGAUGGUAAAUGAAAAUGUGAUAUGAAUGUCUCGGUGAUGAUUAUACAAACGAUGUUGUAUUAAUUUUGUGAACAAUGAUCAUGAAUGAGUAAUUUAGCCUUGACAGAUUUGAGUUACUGCAGUAGUGUAACUUUGAAAAUACACUAAAAAUAGUGAAAAUUGAGUUAGAGGUAGAAUAAAAUAUGGGAUUAAAUCUCAAUGAGUCUAUUUUCACAUGAAAGAAACAGGGGAAGAAAAAGAAUUUCAUAUUGUGUGAUAUUUGAAUUCUUGUGAAAUAGAGUCUGAAUGAAUUAGAGAUCAACUAUUCUAACUUUAGAAAUUCACCAAAAAUUGUACAAAAAUUAUUAAGAGUUAUACCUUACAUGCAUAGAUUCCUUAUUGAGUCUAUUGUUAUGGGAAAUAAACGGCAUGGUCGUUGGAAUUUUGUACAGGGAGAAAUUUGGUUUGUAGUGCACAAGUGUUAGAGUGGUCAUACCCUGAAAUAGGGGAGACUUUAACUAAUAAAAUGUACUAUUUUGCUUAACCAAAAAUUCUGGAAAUUUUAUGGAAGAAAGGAAAAUAAGUCUAGUUUCAGGGAAAAUUAACGGAACUUAAUUUGGAGUUUCGUAGCUCCAGAUAUAAAUAAUUUAGUGACUGUUGCUCAGGAAGACAGCUUGUAGUGAACUUGAGAAUAUGUUGUAAACAUUGAUAAAACAAGUUAAUGAGUUGCUUAUUGUUUUCAUAUGAACUUACUAAGCGAAAGCUUACCCCCCUUCUUUCCCAUGUUUUUUAGAGUUUCCAGGUUAGCUCGGGUUGGAGGCCGUCAGAGAUAUUAUCACCCUAUCGAGUUAACGUUAUCGGAGUAAGUAAACUCAAGUGAUUCGAGUCUAUGGCAUGUAUAGGGUUUUAAUGUGAGUAUGUAAUAUUAUGAUUUAGCCAAAUACAUUGGCUUGUUAUUAAGGUAGUAUUAGUUAUGUAAAUUGGCCUAUGUCGGCUAAUAUCGUUAUGGGCCCAUAUGAUUAUUCUUCUGCAUUUAUGUUAUUAUUUCUUGUGAUGUGGCUUACAACAUGUAUGCCUAGAGAUUGAAUUGAGAUUCAUUGAUGAGCUAGUAACUAAUGCAGGAUUAAGUGAUUGGUAAAUAGUUAAUAGUGCUUCAUGAAUGGUUUGUGAUGUAAUGAUAGUUAUGUCUAGUAUGCGGUAAUGAUAUGGGCAAAUUCUAUAAUAAUUAUUGCAUAAGAAAAUAACUUGAGCAUAACAUGUUUGUAGAUGUUUAAGAGCUCAUUUAUGUCACGUUGUAUGUUAUUGGAUAAGUAUGUAUCUAUGCAUAUGGUGUGAGAGUGAUAAAAGGCUUAAUAAUUAGCCUAUUUCUGGCCACACGGCCUGAGCACAUGGGCGUGUGAAGCCUUAACGCAUGAGAUUUUUUUAAGUUUUUCAUGAGUUCUCGAUUGGGUCCCGAACCACUCCAGAUGUAUGUUUUGGGCCUCGUAAGCCCGUAUAUGGGACAUAUUGUAUGUGAAAAGAAAUUUUUUUAACUAUUUGAGAUUUCAUGGCCCUGUUUAGUAUGAAAGUGUUAGUAAAAGUCAGGUAGCACCUCGAACCCCGUCCUGGCGUCGGAUGCGGGCGAGGGGUGUUACAUAUGGUAUUAUCCAUACUGAGUUAUGACACGUAGGUAUGGUAUUAUUCAUACGGAGCUAUAAUACUUAGGUAUGGUAUUUCCCAUACCGAGUUGUGAAACGUAGGUAUGGUAUUAAACAUACUGAGUUGUGAAUCGUGGCACUGAGCAAACGACGUACUCAAAUUCGUAAGUCGUCCCUUAAUUUGACAUGUGUGAGUAAGUGAUAAUUGAGGAUAAAUGUUGAACUAUGAAUUGAUAUUUGGGUAUUGAGCUCAAUUAAGUGAACUCAUCGUUUGAAAUUAUAUUUGGCAGGAAUUGAAUGUUUAAUAUUAUUUAUUGAAUUGGUUGUGAAUGCUUGGUAAGAUUGUUAUUAUGAACCUAUGAACUUACUAAGCUCCCAAAGCUUACUUUGUGUGUUAAUGGUUUCUGUAGAUUUGCGUGAUAUAGGUGGUUGGAUCAACAUAACGGGAAGCUCCAGAGUUACAUCGGUAGAUUUUGAAUACAACUUUUGAUUUAUAUGGCAUGUAUAGGACAGGGUUGAAAGAUGUAGUUUUGAAAUAUUGAAAUUUGUAUGUUUGAAUAUCUAUGCUCUGAAGUUAUUUUGGUAAGGUAAUGAAUGAAAACAUUUUGACAAAAUUAGGAUAAAGUAGUAUUAUAGUAUGUUGGUAGAUGAAAAACUUAUGUUUUGGUUGAUUUGGUUGAUUGGUUUGGACAUAUUUGUGUAUUUGAAGGUUGUGUGCAAGUAGAUUACAAAAAAGGUGAGAAAUGUGGUCUUAAAAUGGCCUAUUUUCGUCCACACGGGUUGACAUAUAGGCGUGUGUCUAUGCCGUGUGUGACACAUAGUAUGCCCUACGGACACGUGUUGUAGCCGUGUGUCCCCUGCACAUUAAAAUUUAAAAGCAGAAUGCUCUGAAUUAAGCACACAGACAGAGACACGGGCGUGUGUCUCAGUCAUAUGGGUAACAUGGUCAUAGACAAGGCCAUGUGAACCUGCACUUAAAUUGUAAAAUUUAAAAUAACCAUACGGCCUAGCACAGAGGCGUGUGACUUGGCCGUGUAACUUCAAUUUAUUCAUAGGAUGUAAGUCAGAGAUUUACACGGGGUCAGGACAUGGGCGUGUAUAAUCACACGGCCUGCCCACACGGGCGUGUCCCUAAGCCACACAGACGUGUGAGCUAUGCACGUGCGAAAAAUUUAAUAGUUUCGUGAAAAUUUCUCUGAGACUCAGAAUAAGUCCUGACUCGAUUCUAAUGUUCAUAUUGGGCCUCGAUGGUCUAUUUAAGGGAUGGUUUGAAUAUUUUCAUUUAUGAAUGGUAAAUUUGACUUGAAUUGAUUAUACAUACUUAGUUAUCCUCGAUAAUACUCUACAACCCUGUUCCGGCAACGGAUACGGGUUAGAGGUGUUACAGUAUCUUUGAUGCCUUUGAGCCUAGCACUUACGUGUUUUAGUAUGGUAUAGUUAUUUCUCUUUUGAGCUAUCUCGGUGUGGUGUAGUUCACUC